Molecule: long non-coding RNA, 613 nt
Filed under: Capra hircus (goat)
Lineage: Eukaryota; Metazoa; Chordata; Mammalia; Artiodactyla; Bovidae
Description: lncRNA (ENSCHIG00010019542.1)
Source: RNAcentral
AUGCCAUACCUAUGUUUCCCUAUCGCCCGUGAUAGGGUCCUCACUGCCAUCCAUCUGGUGGCUGAGCCAGCUCCAAAAUCCCACUUGAGAGAUCCUUGGACCACCCCCUGGUACCAUCUGUUGCAGAUUCGGGGGUCCUGGGUAUGGAACCCCAUCCCCACCAUGCCGAAGGCGGAGGAAGUGAGCCUUGACCACGCCAGAAUGUUCCGUCCCCGGGAGCAUGAGCACCUGUGCCAAGAGGAUGUUUCAGCCUGGAACCUUGGCCUUCUUUUUCCCUGCCCUUUGCCUCUGCUCAGCCAAGGCCAUGCCCAAGGCCAGGUCCAGGGCUCCGGCCACCACAGCAGUCUACCUGCCAAUCCUGCCUCCCACAUGGAGCAGACAGUCAGCCCUGUGACUGCCCCACCCCGCUCCCCUCUUGGCUACCGGCUGGGAGUCAGACACUCUAGGCCCAGCAAGUCCCACUUGUUUUGAAAAAAAUUUUAUUGAAAUACAGUUGAUUUGUGGUGUUGUGUUAGUUUCAGGUGUAGUGAUUCCAUUAUGCACACACGUGUGAGUGCUCACGUGGUUCAGGUGUGUCCGACUCUCUGCGACCCCGUGGACUGUAGCCUGCCAG